Long non-coding RNA from Cervus elaphus (red deer), 181 nucleotides. RefSeq lists it as uncharacterized. The transcript is spliced from 3 exons. NCBI's taxonomy places the organism in Eukaryota, Metazoa, Chordata, Mammalia, Artiodactyla, Cervidae. The record is from RefSeq and is a predicted model, not a curated record.
CUGCAGCCUGCCCGGUCCCUGUCUCCCCAUGGCCUUCCCAGUUGGCAGUCCACCUCUAGGAUAAACCAACAAAUGAAAAAAUACAUGGAAAUGCCAGAAUCAGGAAUGGUGCUGUACUGGACAAUGGAGGGUCUCUGAGGGAUGAUUUUGUUUCUGAAAACCGAUCGAGAACGGCUAAAAA